RNAcentral lists this ribosomal RNA (468 nucleotides) under uncultured bacterium. Its description in RNAcentral is "partial 16S ribosomal RNA". It matches the Rfam family "Bacterial small subunit ribosomal RNA", at positions 28 to 507 of the family's 1533-position model. The record is from RNAcentral.
GACGAACGCUGGCGGCGUGCUUAACACAUGCAAGUCGAACGGAAAGGCCCUGCUUUUGUGGGGUGCUCGAGUGGCGAACGGGUGAGUAACACGUGAGUAACCUGCCCUUGACUUUGGGAUAACUUCAGGAAACUGGGGCUAAUACCGGAUAGGAGCUCCUGCUGCAUGGUGGGGGUUGGAAAGUUUCGGCGGUUGGGGAUGGACUCGCGGCUUAUCAGCUUGUUGGUGGGGUAGUGGCUUACCAAGGCUUUGACGGGUAGCCGGCCUGAGAGGGUGACCGGCCACAUUGGGACUGAGAUACGGCCCAGACUCCGACGGGAGGCAGCAGGGGGGAAUAUUGCACAAGGGGCGGAAGCCUGAUGCAGCAACGCCGGGUGCGGGAUGACGGCCUUCGGGUUGCAAACCGCUUUCGCCUGUGACGAAGCGUGAGUGACGGUAAUGGGUAAAGAAGCACCGGCUAACUACGUG